UGAUAAAUACUGCACUGUAAGGACGCGCGCCUUUUGCUUAUCAUGAUGUAGUGGAGUAACGAUUAGGAGUAUCACUAUGUACUGUUUGUGCUAUGCUGACUUGCUGCCUUAUGCUGACUUUGAUAACAGUGAUGGUUAUGGGCAUUGGAAUCGGGUUCCACUAUUGUUUUGUCCAAAAUUCAGUGGACGCAAUGG
This is a long non-coding RNA of Pieris napi, 195 nucleotides long. RefSeq lists it as uncharacterized. The transcript has 2 exons. Lineage: Eukaryota; Metazoa; Arthropoda; Insecta; Lepidoptera; Pieridae. The record is from RefSeq and is a predicted model, not a curated record.